UGGGGAAUAUUGCACAAUGGGCGCAAGCCUGAUGCAGCCAUGCCGCGUGUGUGAAGAAGGCCUUCGGGUUGUAAAGCACUUUCAGCGGGGAGGAAGGCGGUGAGGUUAAUAACCUCAUCGAUUGACGUUACCCGCAGAAGAAGCACCGGCUAACUCCGUGCCAGCAGCCGCGGUAAUACGGAGGGUGCAAGCGUUAAUCGGAAUUACUGGGCGUAAAGCGCACGCAGGCGGUCUGUCAAGUCGGAUGUGAAAUCCCCGGGCUCAACCUGGGAACUGCAUUGGAAACUGGCAGGCUAGAGUCUUGUAGAGGGGGGUAGAAUUCAAGGGGUAGCGGUGAAAUGCGUAGAGAUCUGGAGGAAUACCGGUGGCGAAGGCGGCCCCCUGGACAAAGACUGACGCUCAGGUGCGAAAGCGUGGGGAGCAAACAGG
This 429-nucleotide ribosomal RNA is filed under the name Chloroflexota bacterium. RNAcentral's name for it is "Chloroflexi bacterium partial 16S ribosomal RNA". It matches the Rfam family "Bacterial small subunit ribosomal RNA", at positions 355 to 776 of the family's 1533-position model. The record is from RNAcentral. Lineage: Bacteria; Bacillati; Chloroflexota.